This 444-nucleotide ribosomal RNA is filed under the name uncultured Tulasnella. RNAcentral's name for it is "eukaryotic LSU rRNA". The stretch from base 74 to 235 matches the Rfam family "5.8S ribosomal RNA". Lineage: Eukaryota; Fungi; Basidiomycota; Agaricomycetes; Cantharellales; Tulasnellaceae. The record is from RNAcentral.
UUGGCUUCCGGCCUCGACAAAACCUUUUGUAAUCCAACUCACGCCUGUACGCGAAAAACCGAGAGAUUAAUACAACCAGUAGCGUUGGAUCCCUUGGCACGUCGUUCGAUGAAGACCGUUGCAAAAUGCGAUAAGUGGUGUGAUAUGCAAGUCCAAAACUUAUACGUGAACCAUCGAAUUGUUGAACGCACUGCAUCGAUCCUUACCCAGGAACGAUACGCCCCAUUGAGCGUCAUUAUGUCUUCGCGACUCGUUGCCUUUGCGGGCGACCUGUCCGGGUUCGGGAUCCACGGCCCCCAGCGGCCGCGUUUCCUCAGAUGCAUUGGACGCGCCGAUCGAGAGCGACGACCUUGUCAUGAAUGUCGAGGCCCGCCGUCUCCCGUCGCGUGCAAGAUCCUCGGCCCUGCCCUUGGAUCGACCCGGCGCUUGAUGCCUCUCCAACAC